Molecule: ribosomal RNA, 517 nt
Filed under: uncultured Glomeromycotina
Lineage: Eukaryota; Fungi; Glomeromycota
Description: SSU rRNA
Rfam family: Eukaryotic small subunit ribosomal RNA
Source: RNAcentral
AGCAGCCGCGGUAAUUCCAGCUCCAAUAGCGUAUAUUAAAGUUGUUGCAGUUAAAAAGCUCGUAGUUGAAUUUCGGGGUUAGUAAGUUGGUCAUGCCUCCGGUAUGCACUGGCUUUACUGAUUCCUCCUUCUUGAUGAACUGUAAUGUCAUUAAUUUGGUGUUGCAGGGAAUCAGGACUGUUACUUUGAAAAAUUAGAGUGUUUAAAGCAGGCAUACGCUUGAAUACAUUAGCAUGGAAUAAUGAAAUAGGACGUUUGAUCCCAUUUUGUUGGUUUCUAGGAUUGACGUAAUGAUUAAUAGGGAUAGUUGGGGGCAUUAGUAUUCAAUUGUCAGAGGUGAAAUUCUUGGAUUUAUUGAAGACUAACUACUGCGAAAGCAUUUGCCAAGGAUGUUUUCAUUAAUCAAGAACGAAAGUUAGGGGAUCGAAGACGAUCAGAUACCGUCGUAGUCUUAACCAUAAACUAUGCCGACUAGGGAUCGGAUGAUGUUAUUUUUUAAUGACUCAUUCGGCGUCCG